AAAUUCACAAUCAAUUAGAAAAUGCAGUGUAAAAUUCCACAAAAAUUCAUACAACAUCUCAACAUGUUAACAAUUCACCAUGCAAAAUUUCAUAUUAUUUCAACAAGUAUAGGUCCAUCAAUUAAAUUCAACAAGUUGACAUCAAGAGGUGUGACACAAAUUGUCACACCUAAGUUCCAAAAUUCACAUCUCAAUGGCCAGGUAUCAAAAAUGCAUGAAAUUUACAUAUAAAUGAAC
RNAcentral lists this long non-coding RNA (237 nucleotides) under Lathyrus oleraceus (garden pea). RNAcentral describes it as "Pisum sativum (pea) long non-coding RNA (PSAT_LNC001625)". The record is from RNAcentral. Lineage: Eukaryota; Viridiplantae; Streptophyta; Magnoliopsida; Fabales; Fabaceae.